GCCCGAGUGGCGGAAUGGUAGACGCAGCGGAUUCAAAAUCCGCCGGUAGCGAUACCGUGCGAGUUCGAGUCUCGCCUCGGGCACCA
This 86-nucleotide transfer RNA is filed under the name Tropicimonas isoalkanivorans. RNAcentral's name for it is "tRNA_Leu_CAA". It matches the Rfam family "tRNA". From Rfam's summary of the family: Transfer RNA (tRNA) molecules are approximately 80 nucleotides in length. Lineage: Bacteria; Pseudomonadati; Pseudomonadota; Alphaproteobacteria; Rhodobacterales; Roseobacteraceae. RNAcentral also lists the same sequence under 1 other name. The record is from RNAcentral.